CAGAGGGACAUGACACUAACAUGUUAUAAAUGCUGGUGAAGGACCAGAGGGACAGGAGACAGACAUGUUAUAAAUGCUGGUGAAGGACCAGAGAGACACAGACAUGCUAUAAAUGCUGGUGAAGGACCAGAGGGACACAGACAUGUUAUAAAUGCUGGUGAAGGACCAGAGGGACACAGACAUGUUAUAAAUGCUGGUGAAGGACUAGAGGGACACAGACAUGUUAUAAAUGCUGGUGAAGGAACAGAGGGAAAGGUCUCAGACAUGUUAUAAAUGCUGGUGAAGCCCCAGAGGGACACAGACAUGUUAUAAAUGCUGGUGAAGGACCAGAGGGACACAGACAUGUUAUAAAUGCUGUUGAAGGACUAGAGGGACACAGACAUGUUAUAAAUGCUGGUGAAAGACCAGAGGGAUACAGACAUGUUAUAAAUGCUGGUGAAGGACCAGAGGGACACAUACAUGUUAUAAAUGCUGUUGAAGGACUAGAGGGACACAGACAUGUUAUAAAUGCUUGUGAAAGACCAGAGGGAUACAGACGUGUUAUAAAUGCUGGUGAAGGACCAGAGGGACACAGACAUGUUAUAAAUGCUGGUGAAGAACUAGAGGGACACAGACAUGUUAUAAAUGCUGG
Long non-coding RNA from Oncorhynchus tshawytscha (Chinook salmon), 631 nucleotides. The record is from Ensembl. Lineage: Eukaryota; Metazoa; Chordata; Actinopteri; Salmoniformes; Salmonidae.